RNAcentral lists this ribosomal RNA (253 nucleotides) under uncultured bacterium. Its description in RNAcentral is "partial 16S ribosomal RNA". It matches the Rfam family "Bacterial small subunit ribosomal RNA", at positions 524 to 776 of the family's 1533-position model. The record is from RNAcentral.
UACGUAGGUGGCAAGCGUUGUCCGGAUUUACUGGGCGUAAAGGAUGCGUAGGCGGACUUUUAAGUGGGAUGUGAAAUUCCGAGGCUCAACCUCGGCGCUGCAUUCCAAACUGAAAGUCUAGAGUGCGGGAGAGGAAAGUGGAAUUCCUAGUGUAGCGGUGAAAUGCGUAGAGAUUAGGAAGAACACCAGUGGCGAAGGCGACUUUCUGGACCGUAACUGACGCUGAUGCAUGAAAGCGUGGGGAGCAAACAGG